This 462-nucleotide ribosomal RNA is filed under the name uncultured bacterium. RNAcentral describes it as "bacterial SSU rRNA". It matches the Rfam family "Bacterial small subunit ribosomal RNA", at positions 1 to 507 of the family's 1533-position model. The record is from RNAcentral.
GACGUCUACGAGUUUGAUCCUGGCUCAGAACGAACGCUGGCGGCAUGCCUAACACAUGCAAGUCGAACGAACCCUUCGGGGUUAGUGGCGCACGGGUGCGUAACGCGUGGGGAUCUGCCCAAAGGUUCGGAAUAACUCAGAGAAAUUUGAGCUAAUACCGGAUAAUGUCUUCGGACCAAAGAUUUAUUGCCUUUGGAUGAACCCGCGUAGGAUUAGCUUGUUGGUGGGUAAAGGCCUACCAAGGCGACGAUCCUUAGCUGGUCUGAGAGGAUGAUCAGCCACACUGGGACUGAGACACGGCCCAGACUCCUACGGGAGGCAGCAGUGGGGAAUAUUGGACAAUGGGCGAAAGCCUGAUCCAGCAAUGCCGCGUGAGUGAUGAAGGCCUUAGGGGUUGUAAAAGCUCUUUUACCAGGGAUGAUAAUGACAGUACCUGGAGAAUAAGCUCCGGCUAACUCCGUG